Pseudophryne corroboree (corroboree frog) is the source of this 1060-nucleotide long non-coding RNA. RefSeq lists it as uncharacterized. The transcript has 2 exons. The record is from RefSeq and is a predicted model, not a curated record. NCBI's taxonomy places the organism in Eukaryota, Metazoa, Chordata, Amphibia, Anura, Myobatrachidae.
GUCUAGUCGGUCACAUGACUUGCCUGGGCUCCGCCCCAGUGCGGCCGAUCGGAGUCGCACGUCCAUCGAAAACACUGAUUUGGCGUUCAUUUCUUACAGUAAUAUUCCCAGUUGAGAACAAAGGUUGUGAUAACUUCAUUAAUGGUGAAACAAGGGUCUUGUGAGCCCUAGAGGACGAUGACGGAAUCAUUAUUAAACCAUCUGAUAAAGAUGGUGCCAUCACCUUCCUUAUUAUUAUACAUCCUUGACUGCUACCUCCUUUCCUUUAGUCUCUCCCCACCUCCUGCUCCGAUCCCAUCAUGCAAAUCCAAAAUCCCAGCUUUAGGACUCCAUUCUCCAGUAAUGAAGACCGCUGAUGAUUCCAAGUCAUUCUCCCAUCAACAGCUCUGUCCUCUUUCUCACUAAUCAGCCUUACGGUCAUUUACUUAUUACCACUCAGUCAUCCCACCCAUUAACUUUAAUUACCUGCAUCCCCCUCUUCUUCUUCUCCCCAUCUCCAUUUCACAACCAAAACUGUCGUCAUCCGUCAAGAAAUCUCCUGCUUCCAGAACCAUCUAGUUUACUUGCAUCCUCCUCCUCUCUCUCCAGAGAGUGCAGUGUGAGAGCCACAGUAUGCAGAGUACAGUGGAAGGAACCAGGAACAAAGCGGAUCCCCACCUUCAGGGGUACCCAAGAAGAAGGACGGGAGGUGUUAGUCUUCUGGAGAGGACUAUCUGGGUGAGUGGUAGGAAACCACAUUUGGCGGAAGGCCCCUAGUAACGUGUCCAUGAGAGAUCCCGUUUAGAUAGAGCCCCCAGCGAAUAGGGGAGAGCCCACCGAAAUGGAUCUCAGUUUGCGGACGCCGCACUACUGAUUCCCAGAGACUGCACUGGUAUGUACAGUACUGUAAUGCUGUCCCAUCAUUGUUAAUGCUGUUAAUGCCAGUGAAGCAAAUGAAAGGAAAUGUAACCUGAUGUAACCCAUAUGAAUAUUUCUCUGAAGAGAAGAGAACAAGAAAUCAAAUGUUAUUGUCGUGAUAACCCUGUCUGAACUGUGAAUAAACUGCUUGCUUAUGUGAUGA